GCAGUCGAGCGGUAGAGAGGUGCUUGCACCUCUUGAGAGCGGCGGACGGGUGAGUAAAGCCUAGGAAUCUGCCUGGUAGUGGGGGAUAACGCUCGGAAACGGACGCUAAUACCGCAUACGUCCUACGGGAGAAAGCAGGGGACCUUCGGGCCUUGCGCUAUCAGAUGAGCCUAGGUCGGAUUAGCUAGUUGGUGAGGUAAUGGCUCACCAAGGCGACGAUCCGUAACUGGUCUGAGAGGAUGAUCAGUCACACUGGAACUGAGACACGGUCCAGACUCCUACGGGAGGCAGCAGUGGGGAAUAUUGGACAAUGGGCGAAAGCCUGAUCCAGCCAUGCCGCGUGUGUGAAGAAGGUCUUCGGAUUGUAAAGCACUUUAAGUUGGGAGGAAGGGCAUUAACCUAAUACGUUAGUGUUUUGACGUUACCGACAGAAUAAGCACCGGCUAACUCUGUGCCAGCAGCCGCGGUAAUACAGAGGGUGCAAGCGUUAAUCGGAAUUACUGGGCGUAAAGCGCGCGUAGGUGGUUCGUUAAGUUGGAUGUGAAAUCCCCGGGCUCAACCUGGGAACUGCAUUCAAAACUGUCGAGCUAGAGUAUGGUAGAGGGUGGUGGAAUUUCCUGUGUAGCGGUGAAAUGCGU
Molecule: ribosomal RNA, 638 nt
Filed under: uncultured bacterium
Lineage: Bacteria
Description: bacterial SSU rRNA
Rfam family: Bacterial small subunit ribosomal RNA
Source: RNAcentral